UUCGAGUGGCGGACGGGUGAGUAACGCGUGGGUAACCUGCCUUACACAGGGGGAUAACACCUGGAGACAGGUGCUAAUACCGCAUAAGCGCACAGGGCCGCAUGGCCCGGUGUGAAAAACUCCGGUGGUGUAAGAUGGACCCGCGUCUGAUUAGCUUGUUGGCGGGGUAGGGGCCCACCAAGGCGACGAUCAGUAGCCGGCCUGAGAGGGUGGACGGCCACAUUGGGACUGAGACACGGCCCAAACUCCUACGGGAGGCAGCAG
This 264-nucleotide ribosomal RNA is filed under the name uncultured bacterium. RNAcentral describes it as "partial 16S ribosomal RNA". It matches the Rfam family "Bacterial small subunit ribosomal RNA", at positions 90 to 354 of the family's 1533-position model. The record is from RNAcentral.